AGCGGUUGACGUGCCGCGUAUGUGUGAGAUACAACCUCACAACCCCAAAUGACUGCUUCUUCCCAGAUUGGUUGCGCUGCAAAGCCGCGCAACAACCCUCUUUGCCUGAUGACCAUAGCGAGUCGGUCCCACCCCUUCCCAUCCCGAACAGGACCGUGAAACGACUCCACGCCGAUGAUAGUGCGGAUUGCCCGUGUGAAAGUAGGUAAUCGUCAGGC
Molecule: ribosomal RNA, 218 nt
Filed under: Burkholderia pseudomallei S13
Lineage: Bacteria; Pseudomonadati; Pseudomonadota; Betaproteobacteria; Burkholderiales; Burkholderiaceae
Source: RNAcentral